This 422-nucleotide ribosomal RNA is filed under the name Myrmeleon hyalinus. Its description in RNAcentral is "SSU rRNA". It matches the Rfam family "Eukaryotic small subunit ribosomal RNA", at positions 1038 to 1428 of the family's 1831-position model. Lineage: Eukaryota; Metazoa; Arthropoda; Insecta; Neuroptera; Myrmeleontidae. The record is from RNAcentral.
GAUGCCAGCUAGCGAUCCGCCAAAGUUCCUCCGAUGACUUGGUGGGCAGCUUCCGGGAAACCAAAGCAUUUGGGUUCCGGGGGAAGUAUGGUUGCAAAGCUGAAACUUAAAGGAAUUGACGGAAGGGCACCACCAGGAGUGGAGCCUGCGGCUUAAUUUGACUCAACACGGGAAACCUCACCAGGCCCGGACACCGGAAGGAUUGACAGAUUGAGAGCUCUUUCUUGAUUCGGUGGGUGGUGGUGCAUGGCCGUUCUUAGUUGGUGGAGCGAUUUGUCUGGUUAAUUCCGAUAACGAACGAGACUCUAGCCUACUAAAUAGACGUACUUUAUUACCGGCAUCUCAAGGCCCAUCGGCUGUAUUGUUACUGAAUGUUAUUUGUAUAUUUUGUUGAUAUAUAUUUAUUAUAUGUAUGAUUGAUA